This is a long non-coding RNA of Rhipicephalus sanguineus (brown dog tick), 385 nucleotides long. RefSeq lists it as uncharacterized. Lineage: Eukaryota; Metazoa; Arthropoda; Arachnida; Ixodida; Ixodidae. The record is from RefSeq and is a predicted model, not a curated record. The transcript has 3 exons.
GUGUUACGAAGAUCCGUACGAACCUUGUCCUUUGUGCAAAGAGAUAGCAUAUUACUACGACCCGGUGGGACAGCGAUGCGCGGAGUACGGAACAAAAGCGGAACCAUGGUUUCCCCCUCCUGGAGUGAAUUGCUUUGGAAAUAGGCUUACUUGUGAAAGAGAAUGUAUGGGAUUUAACGAAAAUAACAAGAAUGGCAUACCAACAUCGUCGGGGAAAGCCUAAUGUGCAAGAGUUGCAGCAUUGCAAGAGUUGCGGCUACGCACCGGUUUUCGGUGAAACUUCCGUGAUCUUUCGUCAUAAAAAGCAGAGUGGUGUGGAAAUGUAUGCAUCAGCCAGUCGUCUGUGGCACUAUCGAAUAAUAAAAUACACUUCUUGGAAAAAGGG